Molecule: ribosomal RNA, 253 nt
Filed under: uncultured bacterium
Lineage: Bacteria
Description: partial 16S ribosomal RNA
Rfam family: Bacterial small subunit ribosomal RNA
Source: RNAcentral
UACGAAGGGGGCUAGCGUUGUUCGGAAUUACUGGGCGUAAAGCGCGCGCAGGCGGCUAUCCAAGUCAGUGGUGAAAGCCCGGAGCUCAACUCCGGAACUGCCAUUGAAACUGUUUAGCUUGAGGACGAGAGAGGUGAGUGGAAUUCCCAGUGUAGAGGUGAAAUUCGUAGAUAUUGGGAAGAACACCGGUGGCGAAGGCGGCUCACUGGCUCGUAUCUGACGCUCAGGCACGAAAGCGUGGGGAGCAAACAGG